CCCCUAUCAGGGUCGCACCUGAAGAGUUUCCAGUACUCUACCAGGUUUGACUACAGGAGGGAGAGUCAAGCAGAGGCAUAUUCAUUCCAUUCCUAGCUUGGGCAGUGGCUAGUGAGUGGAAGGCAAUCUACUACAAGU
Molecule: small nucleolar RNA, 138 nt
Organism: Tachyglossus aculeatus (Australian echidna)
Lineage: Eukaryota; Metazoa; Chordata; Mammalia; Monotremata; Tachyglossidae
Source: RefSeq, a predicted model, not a curated record